UCGGGAAUUUUGGGCAAUGGGCGCAAGCCUGAUCCAGCAAUACCGCGUGUGUGAUGAAGGCCUUAGGGUUGUAAAGCUCUUUUACCAGGGAUGAUAAUGACAGUACCUGGAGAAUAAGCUCCGGCUAACUCCGUGCCAGCAGCCGCGGUAAUACGGAGGGAGCUAGCGUUGUUCGGAAUUACUGGGCGUAAAGCGUACGUAGGCGGUGACUCAAGUCAGAGGUGAAAGCCUGGAGCUCAACUCCAGAACUGCCUUUGAAACUAGGUCGCUAGAAUCACGGAGAGGUGAGUGGAAUUCCGAGUGUAGAGGUGAAAUUCGUAGAUAUUCGGAAGAACACCAGUGGCGAAGGCGGCUCACUGGACGUGUAUUGACGCUGAGGUACGAAAGCGUGGGGAGCAAACAGGAUUAGAUACCCGUGUAGUCCCUGAGCGGGCUGGCAAGGCGCAU
Molecule: ribosomal RNA, 447 nt
Filed under: uncultured bacterium
Lineage: Bacteria
Description: bacterial SSU rRNA
Rfam family: Bacterial small subunit ribosomal RNA
Source: RNAcentral